CCUAUCAACUUUCGAUGGUAAGGUAUUGGCUUACCAUGGUUUCAACGGGUAACGGGGAAUUAGGGUUCGAUUCCGGAGAGGGAGCGUGAGAAACGGCUACCACAUCCAAGGAAGGCAGCAGGCGCGCAAAUUACCCAAUCCCGACACGGGGAGGUAGUGACAAUAAAUACUGAUACAGGGCUCUUUUGGGUCUUGUAAUUGGAAUGAGUACAAUUUAAACCUCUUAACGAGGAACAAUUGGAGGGCAAGUCUGGUGCCAGCAGCCGCGGUAAUUCCAGCUCCAAUAGCGUAUAUUAAAGUUGUUGCAGUUAAAAAGCUCGUAGUUGAAACUUGGGCCUGGCUGGCGGGUCCGCCUCACCGCGUGCACUCGUCCGGCCGGGCCUUCCUUCUGAAGAACCUCAUGCCCUUCACUGGGCGUGUUGGGGAAUCAGGACUUUUACUUUGAAAAAAUUAGAGUGUUCAAAGCAGGCCUUUGCUCGAAUACGUUAGCAUGGAAUAAUAAAAUAGGGCGUGCGUUUCUAUUUUGUUGGUUUCUAGAGACGCCGCAAUGAUUAACAGGAACAGUCGGGGGCAUCAGUAUUCAGUUGUCAGAGGUGAAAUUCUUGGAUUUACUGAAGACUAACUACUGCGAAAGCAUUUGCCAAGGAUGUUUUCAUUAAUCAGUGAACGAAAGUUAGGGGAUCGAAGACGAUCAGAUACCGUCGUAGUCUUAACCGUAAACUAUGCCGACUAGGGAUCGGGCGAUGUUCUUUUUCUGACUCGCUCGGCACCUUACGAGAAAUCAAAGUU
Molecule: ribosomal RNA, 789 nt
Filed under: Curvularia hawaiiensis
Lineage: Eukaryota; Fungi; Ascomycota; Dothideomycetes; Pleosporales; Pleosporaceae
Description: SSU rRNA
Rfam family: Eukaryotic small subunit ribosomal RNA
Source: RNAcentral